This 71-nucleotide transfer RNA is filed under the name Alphaproteobacteria bacterium. RNAcentral's name for it is "tRNA-Thr". It matches the Rfam family "tRNA". From Rfam's summary of the family: Transfer RNA (tRNA) molecules are approximately 80 nucleotides in length. The record is from RNAcentral. Lineage: Bacteria; Pseudomonadati; Pseudomonadota; Alphaproteobacteria.
AUGGUUUAGCUUUGAAGAUCAUACCGUUGGUAAGGGUGAGGUCGCGUGUUCGAAUCACGCUGGCAGCACCA